CCCUCCCUCUUUCUUCAUGCCUAACACAUGCAAGUCGAACGAGACCUUCGGGUCUAGUGGCGCACGGGUGCGUAACGCGUGGGAAUCUGCCCUUGGGUUCGGAAUAACAGUUGGAAACGACUGCUAAUACCGGAUGAUGACGUAAGUCCAAAGAUUUAUCGCCCAGGGAUGAGCCCGCGUAGGAUUAGCUAGUUGGUGGGGUAAAGGCCUACCAAGGCGACGAUCCUUAGCUGGUCUGAGAGGAUGAUCAGCCACACUGGGACUGAGACACGGCCCAGACUCCUACGGGAGGCAGCAGUGGGGAAUAUUGGACAAUGGGCGAAAGCCUGAUCCAGCAAUGCCGCGUGAGUGAUGAAGGCCUUAGGGUUGUAAAGCUCUUUUACCCGGGAUGAUAAUGACAGUACCGGGAGAAUAAGCCCCGGCUAACUCCGUG
This 433-nucleotide ribosomal RNA is filed under the name uncultured bacterium. RNAcentral's name for it is "partial 16S ribosomal RNA". It matches the Rfam family "Bacterial small subunit ribosomal RNA", at positions 36 to 507 of the family's 1533-position model. The record is from RNAcentral.